RNAcentral lists this ribosomal RNA (253 nucleotides) under uncultured bacterium. Its description in RNAcentral is "partial 16S ribosomal RNA". It matches the Rfam family "Bacterial small subunit ribosomal RNA", at positions 524 to 776 of the family's 1533-position model. The record is from RNAcentral.
UACGUAGGGCGCAAGCGUUAUCCGGAAUUAUUGGGCGUAAAGAGCUCGUAGGCGGUUUGUCGCGUCUGCCGUGAAAGUCCGGGGCUCAACUCCGGAUCUGCGGUGGGUACGGGCAGACUAGAGUGCAGUAGGGGAGACUGGAAUUCCUGGUGUAGCGGUGAAAUGCGCAGAUAUCAGGAGGAACACCGAUGGCGAAGGCAGGUCUCUGGGCUGUAACUGACGCUGAAGAGCGAAAGCAUGGGGAGCGAACAGG